This 585-nucleotide ribosomal RNA is filed under the name uncultured marine bacterium. RNAcentral's name for it is "bacterial SSU rRNA". It matches the Rfam family "Bacterial small subunit ribosomal RNA", at positions 57 to 675 of the family's 1533-position model. The record is from RNAcentral.
GCAAGUCGAACGAGAAACCCGAGCUUGCUCGGGUGGACAGUGGCAGACGGCUUAGUAACGCGUGGGUAUCUACCUAGAGGUUUGGAACAACUAUUGGAAACGAUAGCUAAUACCAAAUAUUCCCUAAGGGGGAAAGAUUUAUCGCCUUUAGAUGAGCCCGCGUCGGAUUAGCAUGUUGGUAGGGUAAAGGCCUACCAAGGCAACGAUCCGUAGCUGGUCUGAGAGGAUGAUCAGCAAGAUUGGGACUGAGACACGGCCCAGACUCCUACGGGAGGCAGCAGUGGGGAAUAUUGCGCAAUGGGGGAAACCCUGACGCAGCGAUGCCGCGUGAGUGAAGAAGGCCUUAGGGUUGUAAAACUCUUUCACCGGUGAAGAUAAUGACGGUAGCCGGAGAAGAAGCCCCGGCUAACUCCGUGCCAGCAGCCGCGGUAAUACGGAGGGGGCUAACGUUGUUCGGAAUUACUGGGCGUAAAGCGCGCGUAGGCGGAUUAGACAGUUGAGGGUGAAAUCCCGGAGCUUACCUCCGGAACUGCCUUCAAUACUACUAAUUCUUGAGUUCGGAGGAGGUGAGUGGAAUUCCUAGUG